This 486-nucleotide ribosomal RNA is filed under the name Meloe (Lampromeloe) sp. 1 ASV-2022b. RNAcentral's name for it is "partial large subunit ribosomal RNA". It matches the Rfam family "Archaeal large subunit ribosomal RNA", at positions 1908 to 2646 of the family's 2987-position model. The record is from RNAcentral. Lineage: Eukaryota; Metazoa; Arthropoda; Insecta; Coleoptera; Meloidae.
GUCUUUUUGUUAAUUAUUUAAGGUUUGGCCUGCUCCAUGAUUGAAUUAAAUAGCCGCAGUAUUUUGACUGUGCAAAGGUAGCAUAAUCAUUAGUUUCUUAAUUGGAAGCUGGAAUGAAGGGCUGGAUGAGAAAGAAGCUGUCUCACUUUGAUUGAAUUUGAAUUUUAUUUUUAAGUUAAAAAGCUUAAAUUUUAUAGAAAGACGAGAAGACCCUAUAGAGUUUAAUAGACUGGGAUUUAAUUGCUUGAGGGUUUUAAUUUAAUUGUUUUUUAGUCUGUUUGGUUGGGGUGACAUGAGAAUAGAGUAAACUUCUUAUAAUUUUAACAUUGAUUUAUGAACAAAUGAUCCUGGGAUCUGGAUUUAAAGAUAAAAUUACCUUAGGGAUAACAGCGUAAUCUUUUUGGAGAGUUCUAAUCGAUAAAAGGGAUUGCGACCUCGAUGUUGGAUUAAAGUUAAGUUUUGGUGCAGAAGCUAAAAUUUUGAGUC